GAUGAACGCUGGCGGCGUGCCUAAUACAUGCAAGUCGAGCGAACGGACGAGAAGCUUGCUUCUCUGAUGUUAGCGGCGGACGGGUGAGUAACACGUGGAUAACCUACCUAUAAGACUGGGAUAACUUCGGGAAACCGUAGCUAAUACCGGAUAAUAUUUUGAACCGCAUGGUUCAAAAGUGAAAGACGGUCUUGCUGUCACUUAUAGAUGCAUCCGCGCUGCAUUAGCUAGUUGGUAAGGUAACGGCUUACCAAGGCAACGAUGCAUAGCCGACCUGAGAGGGUGAUCGGCCACACUGGAACUGAGACACGGUCCAGACUCCUACGGGAGGCAGCAGUAGGGAAUCUUACGCAAUGGGCGAAAGCCUGACGGAGCAACGCCGCGUGAGUGAUGAAGGUCUUCGGAUCGUAAAACUCUGUUAUUAGGGAAGAACAUAUGUGUAAGUAACUGUGCACAGCUUGACGGUACCUAAUCAGAAAGCCACGGCUAACUACGUG
RNAcentral lists this ribosomal RNA (497 nucleotides) under uncultured bacterium. RNAcentral's name for it is "partial 16S ribosomal RNA". It matches the Rfam family "Bacterial small subunit ribosomal RNA", at positions 28 to 507 of the family's 1533-position model. The record is from RNAcentral.